Neolamprologus brichardi is the source of this 842-nucleotide non-coding RNA. The record is from RefSeq and is a predicted model, not a curated record. Lineage: Eukaryota; Metazoa; Chordata; Actinopteri; Cichliformes; Cichlidae.
AAUUUUUAACUAUUUAAUUUUGGCAAUUCAUUCCCUGCAAUUUACCCCAAAGAUUUGCACAAUAUUGUUUGAGUAACUCUUGUGAAAUGCACUCAAAGAAGUAACGAGAUGAACAGGAUAUAACAUGGGUGACAUCCCACCAAUGAAUACUUGCCCCACCUACCUAUUCCAGUCCACACCAAUAAGAACAUGUUACUUUUCCACUCCCCAAAAAUCCAGAAUUUAAUUUUUAUUUGUAUAAAAUUAUUUUGGUAAUGGGUUCACUUAAAGAAAUGUUAAUCACUCUACUGAAAUCCAUGACAGUUUGAUCUCUGAGGUGUAGCCGCAGAUUAAUGUUUAACAUAUGACUUGAUGCAUCUUUUCCUGUCUCUUAGGUUGGUAAUGGCUCUAGUGAGCCAAAAGACAGAGGAGAAGAUUUGCAUCACAAAAAGCAGCGAGGAAAGGCUACUGCUGUUUCAUCUAAAGACAAGACUACAGAACAAGACAGAGACUUUAGCACUACCGACAAGGAUGUAGAGAUCAUACAUUCCGACUCAUCUCAUACUCAAGCAACAGAUGAAGAGAAUACGGCUGGACCGUCAGAUAUCAGAGGAGGAAGUUCAGCCCAUAAAAUGAGCGAUAACACCAUCUGCAGUGAUGGAAACACAGAUUCUUACUCAUCUGAUGAAGAUGAAGAAGACCCUAUUGCCAGUCAUCUGUCAGGUGGAAUAGCUGAGAGCAGAGGAGGAGAUCCGGACCAUGAAAUGGUAAAUAUGCACAUGCAGAAAGAAGUGCAAUAAUUACUUAGUUAAAACUAAAGCAAACCAUCCAAAUAAUUAAUUUAAAGAAGGAACCCACACCAC